GUGAGGAAUAUUGCGCAAUGGAGGCAACUCUGACGCAGCCAUGCCGCGUGCAGGAAGAAGGCGCUACGCGUUGUAAACUGCUUUUAACCGGGAAGAAACCCCAGGACGUGUCCUGGGUUGAUGGUACCGGAGGAAUAAGCACCGGCUAACUUCGUGCCAGCAGCCGCGGUAAUACGAAGGGUGCAAGCGUUAUCCGGAUUCAUUGGGUUUAAAGGGUGCGUAGGCGGAGCGUUAAGUCAGUGGUGAAAUCCUGCAGCUUAACUGUAGACUUGCAAUUGAUACUGGCGCUCUUGAGUGCGCUUGAAGUGGGCGGAAUGUGCCGUGUAGCGGUGAAAUGCUUAGAUAUGGCACAGAACACCAAUUGCGAAGGCAGCUCACUAAGGCGAUACUGACGCUGAGGCACGAAAGCGUGGGGAUCGAACAGGAUUAGAUACCCCGGUAGUCC
Molecule: ribosomal RNA, 445 nt
Filed under: uncultured bacterium
Lineage: Bacteria
Description: partial 16S ribosomal RNA
Rfam family: Bacterial small subunit ribosomal RNA
Source: RNAcentral